This 252-nucleotide ribosomal RNA is filed under the name Escherichia coli. RNAcentral describes it as "partial 16S ribosomal RNA". It matches the Rfam family "Bacterial small subunit ribosomal RNA", at positions 1 to 249 of the family's 1533-position model. Lineage: Bacteria; Pseudomonadati; Pseudomonadota; Gammaproteobacteria; Enterobacterales; Enterobacteriaceae. The record is from RNAcentral. RNAcentral also lists the same sequence under 1 other name.
AAAUUGAAGAGUUUGAUCAUGGCUCAGAUUGAACGCUGGCGGCAGGCCUAACACAUGCAAGUCGAACGGUAACAGGAAGCAGCUUGCUGCUUCGCUGACGAGUGGCGGACGGGUGAGUAAUGUCUGGGAAACUGCCUGAUGGAGGGGGAUAACUACUGGAAACGGUAGCUAAUACCGCAUAAUGUCGCAAGACCAAAGAGGGGGACCUUCGGGCCUCUUGCCAUCGGAUGUGCCCAGAUGGGAUUAGCUAGU